ACCCGACACAGGUAGGCGAGGAGAGAAUCCUAAGGUGAUCGAGAGAACUCUCGUUAAAGGGACUCGGCAAAAUGACCCCGUAACUUCGGGAGAAGGGGUGCUCUGGUAGGGUGUAUAGCCCGAGAGAGCCGCAGUGAAUAGGCCCAGGCGACUGUUUACCAAAAAGACAGGUCUCUGCGAACCCGCAAGGCGAAGUAUAGGGGCUGACGCCUGCCCGGUGCUGGAAGGUUAAGAGGAGGGGUUAUCCUUUGGGAGAAGCUCUGAAUCGAAGCCCCAGUAAACGGCGGCCGUAACUAUAACGGUCCUAAG
Molecule: ribosomal RNA, 309 nt
Filed under: Paenibacillus polymyxa
Lineage: Bacteria; Bacillati; Bacillota; Bacilli; Caryophanales; Paenibacillaceae
Description: bacterial LSU rRNA
Rfam family: Bacterial large subunit ribosomal RNA
Source: RNAcentral